Molecule: transfer RNA, 76 nt
Filed under: Acholeplasma sp.
Lineage: Bacteria; Bacillati; Mycoplasmatota; Mollicutes; Acholeplasmatales; Acholeplasmataceae
Also listed under: 4 other names
Description: tRNA-Lys
Rfam family: tRNA
About the family: Transfer RNA (tRNA) molecules are approximately 80 nucleotides in length. Their secondary structure includes four short double-helical elements and three loops (D, anti-codon, and T loops). Further hydrogen bonds mediate the characteristic L-shaped molecular structure. tRNAs have two regions of fundamental functional importance: the anti-codon, which is responsible for specific mRNA codon recognition, and the 3' end, to which the tRNAs corresponding amino acid is attached (by aminoacyl-tRNA synthetases). tRNAs cope with the degeneracy of the genetic code in two manners: having more than one tRNA (with a specific anti-codon) for a particular amino acid; and 'wobble' base-pairing, i.e. permitting non-standard base-pairing at the 3rd anti-codon position.
Source: RNAcentral
GUCCCGUUAGCUCAGUCGGUAGAGCACUUGACUUUUAAUCAAGGGGUCAGAAGUUCGAGCCUUCUACGGGACACCA